UGCAGUCGAGCGUGAAAGCCUUCGGGCUGAGUAAAGCGGCGGACGGGUGAGUAACGCGUAGGAAUCUACCUGGUAGUGGGGGACAACAUGGGGAAACUCAUGCUAAUACCGCAUACGCCCUACGGGGGAAAGCGGGGGACCUUCGGGCCUCGCGCUAUCAGAUGAGCCUGCGUUGGAUUAGCUUGUUGGUGAGGUAAAAGCUCACCAAGGCGACGAUCCAUAGCUGGUCUGAGAGGAUGAUCAGCCACACUGGGACUGAGACACGGCCCAGACUCCUACGGGAGGCAGCAGUGGGGAAUAUUGCGCAAUGGGGGAAACCCUGACGCAGCCAUGCCGCGUGUGUGAAGAAGGCCUUAGGGUUGUAAAGCACUUUCAAUUGGGAAGAAAGGUUGUACGUUAAUAGCGUGCAGCUGUGACGUUACCUUUAGAAGAAGCACCGGCUAACUCCGUGCCAGCAGCCGCGGUAAUACG
RNAcentral lists this ribosomal RNA (471 nucleotides) under uncultured bacterium. RNAcentral describes it as "bacterial SSU rRNA". It matches the Rfam family "Bacterial small subunit ribosomal RNA", at positions 56 to 527 of the family's 1533-position model. The record is from RNAcentral.